UCGCUCUGGUUCUCCUUCAAAAUGCGUAUUAAUCUUUCGCCUUUUACUAAAGAUUACCGUGGAGGAGAGCAACUGAAUGAGUCUUACAACUAAUUUUUCGCUGCCCUGCCUUUCGGCGGGGCU
Molecule: small nuclear RNA, 123 nt
Organism: Pocillopora damicornis (cauliflower coral)
Lineage: Eukaryota; Metazoa; Cnidaria; Anthozoa; Scleractinia; Pocilloporidae
Product: U5 spliceosomal RNA
Source: RefSeq, a predicted model, not a curated record